UUCGGGAUUCUUAUUAGCGUCUUAGGAAGGUAUUAAAGGCACCUAAGACGCUCCGCUUAAUACGAUUUUCCAGCGAUUAACAAUUUGACUAUUUAUUUUAACUUUUGCAAUCUUUGAAGUUAGAUUUCUCAAAUCUUAAACGAACUUAAUAAGACAUUAUUGCUUUAAAAUUCCGUUUAAAGUUAACUUUUUAAAAUUUUUUAAUUCUAAGCCAACUCGUGAGUUUGAAACUAUAUUGUUUUAAGAUUCAUUUUAAUUUUUUAAUUUGAUAAAAUAAAAGGCGUCGACGGGGGUUUGGAGUUUCUAACCCUAGACUAACGAUAGUCCACGCAAACAUAUAAAACAAGUAACGGGGAGGGGAGAGAGAGAGAGAUUUGGGUCCAAACUCGGGUUCUGUUCGCCUUGAUCGAGUUUUGAACCCACCUGUUUUUUGGGUUUUUUUAACCCGUUCACCUGUCCUAAUCUAAAUGUACAAAAUAAAAUACGAGAAAGAAAAGCAACAAGGGCUUAUGCCCAUUACAAAAAUAAAAUACAAAACAAAAUAAAGAAAAAGUCUUCUAGUCCAUUUCUUCGAGUUUCUCCAAUCUUCUAACUCCGGGAUCUCCUCGUCGUCGGUUUCAAGGCUUGACUCGAUGAAUUAACUUGAACCUUUAUAGCUCUCUUGAAAUGCGAGAGAAGGGGUGAGUCCUUGUCGAACUCAGGCCGAUUUCAUAUUCAAAAUAAAGUGAAAUAAGUGUAAGCGAUAACUCAAUGAUUUAAUAUCACGAAAUACUUAAAACAAAAUAAAUACUACUAUCUGAAUAUCGUCACAACGCAUGACACAGUUUUAAUUAGCCACUAAUAGGGAUAAAGCAAAAGCAGACAUGAAAGGGAAAAGAAAUCAAACAUCCAUAGAAGCAUAUUAGUGCAUAAGAAACAGUGAUCGGACGUCAACAACAAUUUAAUAAACUAAAUUCGAAUAGAAGUUUUAAGGUAUCAAAGAGUGCAUUACCUUAGAAACAUUUCAUGCUAGAAAAGAAAAAGAAAGAAAGAAAAGAAAUAAAAAUAAAAAUAAUAACAGUAACAACUAAGAAAAACAACACAGUAAUGAAUUCUAAGAACAAAGUCAACACCAAACUUCAUUUUUACAAGACUGUAUUGAUAAGGCCCAGCCCUCGAAUCAUCUAAGAAAAUGAAUGACUAUUGCGAGAUUAAAUUAACCACGAUGAGAAAGUUAUUGAUACACGAAAACAACGAGGAAUACAACCAGAACACGUCAUCAAGUAGUGAAGAAAUAGAAUGAUACCCAGCAUGCUCGAAAUCGGAACUACAUACUCCCUUGUAUCGAAGGGUAAAGAGGGAGGCGAGAUUACCCUUUUUAGAGCAGCUAACUAAGGCGGCAAGGACAACAGGAGACAUACUAUCGCUGGAUACUAACUAUAAAGAAAAAUCUAACUAAAUCAUGCUGAAAAUCGACACAAACCAAGUCAAAAUCUGCCUAGAAGCAGCUGGAAAACAGUAAGCAAAGAAAUAGAGCAGCACAACCAUAUAUACUCACGCUCGAAUAUCUCAACAUCGUUUGACCCAGCACAAACGGAAUAAGAAAAUGAACCAUGAAGAGUCUAUCGUCGAGCAAGAGUGAGAUCUAAUGUGCUAACAACUACCACUAAACUACUCCACAACAGAAUGAAUACACAGAUAAAAAGAAAAGACAUUAAUAACUAAUACUCAUUAACCAAAUCCUAACAUAUGUAGACCCAAAACAAGACUAAAACAUAAACAGAACACAAAGACAACCAAGAAUACAUCAUAAAAAGAACAAUAUAUAAGAACCGAGAAUUAAACAAAAUCAAGAAAGGAUUUACCUCUUUCCGGGCAGCGAACGGAACAGGAACAAGCAGCAAACGACAGCAACUUCCACACCAAACGAAAAAAAAACACGAACACAAAGGAGGAAUACGAGUCACGGCAUCGAACAGCUUGCAAGUCCUAUGUGAUGAAGCGAUAUUCCUGGAAUUCCCAAAACCUUUCUAUCUAAAGAAACAAUGAAGCCAAGGAUUUUCUCUCUUAAGUUUCAACGCAAAUUUUCUAACCCAAAACAAACUUCCUUUAGUUCCCUCAGAAGCAGACAGAACAACCCAAAAGAAUUUUUUCAAAAUUUUCCAACUAUUCUUCUACAACAGACCGAAAAGAAAUCAAAUAUUUCUCGAAAAAUUCUCCCAACCCCUUAGUGAUAGAGUUCCUUUUUCCAAAAAUCCAACCCCAACUUUCAACAAAAAUUCCCAACCUAAAUCUCUAACCACAUACAGAACAGGAAGCAGCAUUUUCCCAACAAAAUUCCUCCAACCCGUUGUUUGAAGGAAGAUCGGGUUUAAAUAGGAAAAUAAUUAGGGUUCCAAGUGAAGGCGGAUAAAACCGAAUUCGACCCGUUUCGAAUUCGAAAUUUCAAAAUUUAUCCAACAAAAUGAAUAUGCUACGAAGAUUCUUCAAAUUUUAAGCCAUUCCAAUGGAUUGAGAGCAAGGUGGAGGGUGGAGAUGAUUUUGUGGUACUAGCGAGCUACGUGUCGCAAAUCCGCUACUGCUAGGACGAGCAGUACGACCUGCUACGCAGUAGCUGGAGACGUACUGCCAGAGAGACGUUGGGAGGGAGAGGUCACGUGAGGUGACACGAGGGAGGAGAAAGGGAGGGGUUCGUGCGUGAGGGAGACGCGGGGUUCUGGGAAUUUUUCUUUUUUCUUUCCGUUCGCGUCUGUUCUGGUUUUCUGUUUUGG
RNAcentral lists this long non-coding RNA (2750 nucleotides) under Solanum lycopersicum (tomato). RNAcentral describes it as "long non-coding RNA (SLYC_LNC001036)". The record is from RNAcentral. Lineage: Eukaryota; Viridiplantae; Streptophyta; Magnoliopsida; Solanales; Solanaceae.